CCUACGGGAUGCAGCAGUGGGGAAUAUUGGGCAAUGGGCGCAAGCCUGACCCAGCAACGCCGCGUGACGGAAGAAGGCUUUCGGGUUGUAAACUUCUUUUAAGGGGGAAGAGCAGAAGACGGUACCCCUUGAAUAAGCCACGGCUAACUACGUGCCAGCAGCCGCGGUAAUACGUAGGUGGCAAGCGUUAUCCGGAUUUCUUGGGUUUAAAGGGUGCGCAGGCGGAUUUUUAAGUCAGCGGUCAAAUCGUGGGGCUCAACCCCAUCCAGCCGUUGAAACUGGGGAUCUAGAGUGUGCGAGAGGUAUGCGGAAUGCGUGGUGUAGCGGUGAAAUGCAUAGAUAUCACGCAGAACCCCGAUUGCGAAGGCAGCAUACCGGUGCACAACUGACGCUCAGGCACGAAAGCGUGGGUAUCGAACAGGAUUAGAUACCCGUGUAGUC
RNAcentral lists this ribosomal RNA (441 nucleotides) under uncultured bacterium. RNAcentral's name for it is "partial 16S ribosomal RNA". It matches the Rfam family "Bacterial small subunit ribosomal RNA", at positions 338 to 795 of the family's 1533-position model. The record is from RNAcentral.